Molecule: ribosomal RNA, 1410 nt
Filed under: Paeniglutamicibacter gangotriensis
Lineage: Bacteria; Bacillati; Actinomycetota; Actinomycetes; Micrococcales; Micrococcaceae
Description: bacterial SSU rRNA
Rfam family: Bacterial small subunit ribosomal RNA
Source: RNAcentral
GGCGUGGGCUUAACACAUGCAAGUCGAACGAUGACUUUCGUGCUUGCACAGAUGAUUAGUGGCGAACGGGUGAGUAACACGUGAGUAACCUGCCCCUGACUCUGGGAUAAGCCUGGGAAACUGGGUCUAAUACUGGAUAUGCACCGUGACCCGCAUGGUUUUUUGGUGAAAGAUUUAUUGGUCAGGGAUGGACUCGCGGCCUAUCAGCUUGUUGGUGAGGUAAUGGCUCACCAAGGCGACGACGGGUAGCCGGCCUGAGAGGGUGACCGGCCACACUGGGACUGAGACACGGCCCAGACUCCUACGGGAGGCAGCAGUGGGGAAUAUUGCACAAUGGGCGAAAGCCUGAUGCAGCGACGCCGCGUGAGGGAUGACGGCCUUCGGGUUGUAAACCUCUUUCAGUAGGGAAGAAGCGAAAGUGACGGUACCUGCAGAAGAAGCGCCGGCUAACUACGUGCCAGCAGCCGCGGUAAUACGUAGGGCGCAAGCGUUAUCCGGAAUUAUUGGGCGUAAAGAGCUCGUAGGCGGUUUGUCGCGUCUAUCGUGAAAGUCCGAGGCUCAACUUCGGAUCUGCGGUGGGUACGGGCAGACUAGAGUGAUGUAGGGGAGACUGGAAUUCCUGGUGUAGCGGUGAAAUGCGCAGAUAUCAGGAGGAACACCGAUGGCGAAGGCAGGUCUCUGGGCAUCUACUGACGCUGAGGAGCGAAAGCAUGGGGAGCGAACAGGAUUAGAUACCCUGGUAGUCCAUGCCGUAAACGUUGGGCACUAGGUGUGGGGGACAUUCCACGUUUUCCGCGCCGUAGCUAACGCAUUAAGUGCCCCGCCUGGGGAGUACGGCCGCAAGGCUAAAACUCAAAGGAAUUGACGGGGGCCCGCACAAGCGGCGGAGCAUGCGGAUUAAUUCGAUGCAACGCGAAGAACCUUACCAAGGCUUGACAUGUGCUAGAUCGCCAUAGAAAUAUGGUUUCCCCUUUGGGGCUGGUUCACAGGUGGUGCAUGGUUGUCGUCAGCUCGUGUCGUGAGAUGUUGGGUUAAGUCCCGCAACGAGCGCAACCCUCGUUCUAUGUUGCCAGCACGUUAUGGUGGGGACUCAUAGGAGACUGCCGGGGUCAACUCGGAGGAAGGUGGGGACGACGUCAAAUCAUCAUGCCCCUUAUGUCUUGGGCUUCACGCAUGCUACAAUGGCCGGUACAAUGGGUUGCGAUACUGUGAGGUGGAACUAAUCCCAAAAAGCCGGGCUCAGUUCGGAUUGGGGGCUGCAACUCGACCCCAUGAAGUCGGAGUCGCUAGUAAUCGCAGAUCAGCAACGCUGCGGUGAAUACGUUCCCGGGCCUUGUACACACCGCCCGUCAAGUCACGAAAGUUGGUAACACCCGAAGCCGGUGGCCUAACCCCUUGUGGGAGGGAGCC